AGAGGUGGCGAGCGUUGUUCGGAAUUACUGGGCUUAAAGGGCGAGUAGGCGGUGGAGCAAGUCUGAGGUGGAAUCCUAUGGCUUAACCAUAGAACUGCCUUGGAUACUGUUUUACUUGAGUCAGUGAGGGGAGGGCGGAAUUCCCGGUGUAGCGGUGAAAUGCGUAGAUAUCGGGAGGAAGGCCAGUGGCGAAGGCGGCCCUCUGGUGCUGAACUGACGCUGAGGCGCGAAAGCGUGGGGAGCAAACAGGAUUAGAUAUCCUGGUAGUCCACGCCCUAAACGGUGGGCAUUAGGUGUAGGGUCCGUAAGGGUUCUGUGCCGAAGGGAAACCAUUAAAUGCCCCGCCUGGGGAGUACGGCCGCAAGGUUG
This 369-nucleotide ribosomal RNA is filed under the name uncultured bacterium. RNAcentral describes it as "bacterial SSU rRNA". It matches the Rfam family "Bacterial small subunit ribosomal RNA", at positions 527 to 896 of the family's 1533-position model. The record is from RNAcentral.